GCCAGACUCCUACGGGAGGCAGCAGUGGGGAGUAUUGCACAAUGGGGGAAACCCUGAUGCAGCGACGCCGCGUGAGCGAUGAAGUAUUUCGGUAUGUAAAGCUCUAUCAGCAGGGAAGAAAAUGACGGUACCUGAUUAAGAAGCCCCGGCUAACUACGUGCCAGCAGCCGCGGUAAUACGUAGGGGGCAAGCGUUAUCCGGAUUUACUGGGUGUAAAGGGAGCGUAGACGGCAUUGCAAGUCCGGAGUGAAAGCCCACGGCCCAACCGUGGGACUGCUCUGGAAACUGUAGAGCUGGAGUGCGGGAGGGGCAGGCGGAAUUCCUAGUGUAGCGGUGAAAUGCGUAGAUAUUAGGAGGAACACCGGCGGCGAAGGCGGCCUGCUGGACCGUAACUGACGUUGAGGCUCGAAAGCGUGGGGAGCAAACAGGAUUAGAUACCCGUGUACC
RNAcentral lists this ribosomal RNA (447 nucleotides) under uncultured bacterium. Its description in RNAcentral is "bacterial SSU rRNA". It matches the Rfam family "Bacterial small subunit ribosomal RNA", at positions 330 to 794 of the family's 1533-position model. The record is from RNAcentral.